This 433-nucleotide ribosomal RNA is filed under the name uncultured bacterium. RNAcentral describes it as "partial 16S ribosomal RNA". It matches the Rfam family "Bacterial small subunit ribosomal RNA", at positions 29 to 507 of the family's 1533-position model. The record is from RNAcentral.
AACGAACGCUGGCGGCAGGCUUAACACAUGCAAGUCGAACGCACCUUUCGGGGUGAGUGGCAGACGGGUGAGUAACGCGUGGGAAUCUACCCUUCUCUACGGGAUAGCUCCGGGAAACUGGAAUUAAUACCGUAUACGUCCUGAGGGAGAAAGAUUUAUCGGGGAAGGAUGAGCCCGCGUUGGAUUAGCUAGUUGGUGGGGUAAAGGCCUACCAAGGCGACGAUCCAUAGCUGGUCUAAGAGGAUGAUCAGCCACAUUGGGACUGAGACACGGCCCAAACUCCUACGGGAGGCAGCAGUGGGGAAUAUUGGACAAUGGGCGCAAGCCUGAUCCAGCCAUGCCGCGUGAGUGAUGAAGGCCCUAGAGUUGUAAAGCUCUUUCAGUGGGGACGAUAAUGACGGUACCCACAGAAGAAGCCCCGGCUAACUUCGUG